Molecule: transfer RNA, 67 nt
Filed under: Marmota monax (woodchuck)
Lineage: Eukaryota; Metazoa; Chordata; Mammalia; Rodentia; Sciuridae
Description: tRNA.Ala
Rfam family: tRNA
About the family: Transfer RNA (tRNA) molecules are approximately 80 nucleotides in length. Their secondary structure includes four short double-helical elements and three loops (D, anti-codon, and T loops). Further hydrogen bonds mediate the characteristic L-shaped molecular structure. tRNAs have two regions of fundamental functional importance: the anti-codon, which is responsible for specific mRNA codon recognition, and the 3' end, to which the tRNAs corresponding amino acid is attached (by aminoacyl-tRNA synthetases). tRNAs cope with the degeneracy of the genetic code in two manners: having more than one tRNA (with a specific anti-codon) for a particular amino acid; and 'wobble' base-pairing, i.e. permitting non-standard base-pairing at the 3rd anti-codon position.
Source: RNAcentral
GGUUGUGGCUCAGUGGCAGAGCACUUGCCUAGCACGUGUGAGGCCCUAGGUUCAAUUCCCAGCACCA